GCACCGUGUCGGCGAGAAAGGACGAAGCGCGCCUCAUGUUCGAGGGUGGCAGCAACACCACCUACCACGCCGCUGGCGCCGGCAGCCUGCGCCGCGGCAAAGUCACUGCGACGCUGGCCGCAGAUUUUUCGAACACCGAAGGCUUCGUGCUUCUGCCGCCGGAUCAGGCUGGCCCGGCCGACCCAUCCGAGGGGCGCACCGGUCGCACGGUCACGACCAAGGUCACGUACGAUGUGAACAGCGCAUGGCAGGCAUGGAUUGCCGGUGGCCUCUACGGCGGCGGCGGCGUGCCGUACAAGGCUGAAGACUACGAGAGUUUCAACGACAUCCGUGGCGGCGCGCGCUGGGUGAGUUCGCGCGGAGGGAUUGCGACGUUGUCGCUCUAUGCCAACCAGCGCGGCUCGAUCGGGGAGAACUACCUCUUCAACGCGGACCGCACCACCAGGACGAUCGGUCGUCGUCAGGACUCGCCGGCCGACUCGCGCGGCGUGUCACUGCAGUGGACGCAGAUGGUGUUCGCGCAGCACGAACUCACCGUUGGUGCCGACCUGUCGAGCGCGAGCGGUGAGCUGAAGGAGAGCUUCAACCCCAUCAA
RNAcentral lists this unclassified non-coding RNA (595 nucleotides) under uncultured fungus. RNAcentral describes it as "sequence contains 18S rRNA gene, ITS1, 5.8S rRNA gene, ITS2, 28S rRNA gene". Lineage: Eukaryota; Fungi. The record is from RNAcentral.